UAGCCUUUGAAUCUUUUCUGUAAAAUUUCUAUAUUCUGUGAUUCUGUAGUGGUGGUUUACGAAGUGGUUUCCUGCCACUGACAUAAUUUUCUUAGGCUGCCCAUUUCAAAGGUUUCCAAAAUAGAAAUCCUCAUUCAAUAUUAAAGUUCAGCUUAUAAAUUCUGUGUACAAUAGGGACCUACUUGUAAACAUGGAUGAAGAAGAUGUUAACAAUUGUUCUCACUUCAUUGUAUGUGAACCGAUAAAAACAAUUCCUUCUGAACCCAUAUCAGUAUGUAAAUGUCUAUUACCUGCUGAAGCGUCCCAAGAAGAAAUAAUAUCGGAACAUAAAAAGCUGAUUUUAUCAACAAAUGCUCGAGUAAAAGAUUAUUUGUGUGACCAUCGCAUUCCUGAGUUUAUUAAUUAUUUAAUGACAAAAAUAAUGGUUGACAGUCCUUCGUGCCCUGCCACGUAUACUGCACAGCUUAUAGAAAAAUGUAUGAUCUUUCGGGCAGGCCAUGGUGUUGCUCCGGUAAUAUAUGAAGACAGGCAUUUGGAAGCAGUUAUCAAAAGCUUUGAUCCCAAUAAUCGAGGAUGGCUCACCAGUGGACAAAUGCGCAGGGCUUUUAGGACACUGGGUCUUCCUCCAAUGGAAACUUCAGAUGAAAAAAUUCCAAGUGAUGUAGUUCUGAAUAAUUUAAGAUCUACUCAAGAGCACGAACUCUAUCAAUUAUUGGUCGCAGGAGUAAAGAAGGACGAUUUAAGUCCAUAAAAACACAUACAUAAUGGUACAUAAAAAAACUUUAGUUUACCGUAGAUUUAAUUGGAUUAGUUGAUAUGUUUAUGGAAUAAUUUAACUUAAGUUUGUUAUAUUUACUAAGUAAUAAACAUUAAAAUAUGUUCUUACAUUA
Helicoverpa armigera (cotton bollworm) is the source of this 890-nucleotide long non-coding RNA. RefSeq lists it as uncharacterized. NCBI's taxonomy places the organism in Eukaryota, Metazoa, Arthropoda, Insecta, Lepidoptera, Noctuidae. The transcript is spliced from 2 exons. The record is from RefSeq and is a predicted model, not a curated record.